GUGUCAGCAGCCGCGGUAAUACGUAGGGUGCGAGCGUUAAUCGGAAUUACUGGGCGUAAAGCGUGCGCAGGCGGUUCGCCAAGUCAGGUGUGAAAUCCCCGGGCUUAACCUGGGAAUUGCGCUUGAAACUAGCGGGCUUGAGUGUGGCAGAGGGGGGUGGAAUUCCACGUGUAGCAGUGAAAUGCGUAGAGAUGUGGAGGAACACCGAUGGCGAAGGCAGCCCCCUGGGUCAACACUGACGCUCAUGCACGAAAGCGUGGGGAGCAAACAGGAUUAGAUACCCUGGUAGUCC
Molecule: ribosomal RNA, 292 nt
Filed under: uncultured bacterium
Lineage: Bacteria
Description: partial 16S ribosomal RNA
Rfam family: Bacterial small subunit ribosomal RNA
Source: RNAcentral